Molecule: long non-coding RNA, 268 nt
Filed under: Varanus komodoensis (Komodo dragon)
Lineage: Eukaryota; Metazoa; Chordata; Lepidosauria; Squamata; Varanidae
Description: lncRNA (ENSVKKG00000014302.1)
Source: RNAcentral
AACCAGCCAGUUAUGGUGGACGUGGCCGCAUCGGCAGCGCCUGUCGCGGAGGCCGCCAUGAACCCCUUCGCGCGCGCACAAAUGUUUGAAGCUUGCAUACAGAACUACAGUGGUGAUGACCCACUUGAUCCUUGGUAUAGAUAUUUUCAGUGGGUGGAAGAGAUGCCAGAAACAGAGGAAAGGCAAAACUACCUCUUGCAGUUGCUGGAGCGCCUUGUGAAAACCUUUUUAAAUUAUGAGAGGUACCACCACGACACAAGACUCAUCA